AAUUCCGUAGCUCAGCUGGGAGAGCACUACCUUGACAGGGUAGGGGUCGCUGGUUCAAGUCCAGUUGGGAUCA
Molecule: transfer RNA, 73 nt
Filed under: Bacillus sp. AFS077874
Lineage: Bacteria; Bacillati; Bacillota; Bacilli; Caryophanales; Bacillaceae
Also listed under: 1 other name
Description: tRNA-Val
Rfam family: tRNA
About the family: Transfer RNA (tRNA) molecules are approximately 80 nucleotides in length. Their secondary structure includes four short double-helical elements and three loops (D, anti-codon, and T loops).
Source: RNAcentral